GGGAUAACAGUUAGAAAUGGCUGCUAAUACCGCAUAAGACCACAGCACCGCAUGGUGCAGGGGUAAAAACUCCGGUGGUAUGAGAUGGACCCGCGUCUGAUUAGCUGGUUGGUGGGGUAACGGCCUACCAAGGCGACGAUCAGUAGCCGACCUGAGAGGGUGACCGGCCACAUUGGGACUGAGACACGGCCCAAACUCCUACGGGAGGCAGCAGUGGGGAAUAUUGCACAAUGGGGGAAACCCUGAUGCAGCGACGCCGCGUGAAGGAUGAAGUAUUUCGGUAUGUAAACUUCUAUCAGCAGGGAAGAAAAUGACGGUACCUGACUAAGAAGCCCCGGCUAACUACGUGCCAGCAGCCGCGGUAAUACGUAGGGGGCAAGCGUUAUCCGGAUUUACUGGGUGUAAAGGGAGCGUAGACGGUAUGGCAAGUCUGAUGUGAAAGGCCAGGGCUCAACCCUGGGACUGCAUUGGAAACUGUCGAACUAGAGUGUCGGAGAGGCAAGUGGAAUUCCUAGUGUAGCGGUGAAAUGCGUAGAUAUUAGGAGGAACACCAGUGGCGAAGGCGGCUUGCUGGACGAUGACUGACGUUGAGGCUCGAAAGCGUGGGGAGCAAACAGGAUUAGAUACCCUGGUAGUCCACGCCGUAAACGAUGACUACUAGGUGUCGGGUAGCAGAGCUAUUCGGUGCCGCAGCCAACGCAAUAAGUAGUCCACCUGGGGAGUACGUUCGCAAGAAUGCAACUCAAAUGAAUUGACGG
RNAcentral lists this ribosomal RNA (758 nucleotides) under uncultured bacterium. RNAcentral's name for it is "bacterial SSU rRNA". It matches the Rfam family "Bacterial small subunit ribosomal RNA", at positions 140 to 916 of the family's 1533-position model. RNAcentral also lists the same sequence under 1 other name. The record is from RNAcentral.